Fukomys damarensis (Damara mole-rat) is the source of this 107-nucleotide small nuclear RNA. Lineage: Eukaryota; Metazoa; Chordata; Mammalia; Rodentia; Bathyergidae. The record is from Ensembl.
GUGCUUGCUUCGGCAGCACAUAUACUAAAAUUUGAACGAUACAGAGAAGAGUAGCAUGGCCCCUGCUCAAGGAUGACAUGCAAAUUCAUGAAGUGUUCCAUAUUUUU